ACGGGUGAGUAAUGUCUGGGGAUCUGCCCGAUAGAGGGGGAUAACCACUGGAAACGGUGGCUAAUACCUCAUAACGUCGCAAGACCAAAGAGGGGGACCUUCGGGCCUCUCACUAUCGGAUGAACCCAGAUGGGAUUAGCUAGUAGGCGGGGUAACGGCCCACCUAGGCGACGAUCCCUAGCUGGUCUGAGAGGAUGACCAGCCACACUGGAACUGAGACACGGUCCAGACUCCUACGGGAGGCAGCAGUGGGGAAUAUUGCACAAUGGGCGCAAGCCUGAUGCAGCCAUGCCGCGUGUAUGAAGAAGGCCUUCGGGUUGUAAAGUACUUUCAGCGGGGAGGAAGGCGAUGUGGUUAAUAACCGCAUUGAUUGACGUUACCCGCAGAAGAAGCACCGGCUAACUCCGUGCCAGCAGCCGCGGUAAUACGGAGGGUGCAAGCGUUAAUCGGAAUUACUGGGCGUAAAGCGCACGCAGGCGGUCUGUUAAGUCAGAUGUGAAAUCCCCGGGCUUAACCUGGGAACUGCAUUUGAAACUGGCAGGCUUGAGUCUCGUAGAGGGGGGUAGAAUUCUAGGUGU
RNAcentral lists this ribosomal RNA (578 nucleotides) under uncultured bacterium. RNAcentral describes it as "bacterial SSU rRNA". It matches the Rfam family "Bacterial small subunit ribosomal RNA", at positions 102 to 676 of the family's 1533-position model. The record is from RNAcentral.